This 391-nucleotide ribosomal RNA is filed under the name uncultured bacterium. Its description in RNAcentral is "bacterial SSU rRNA". It matches the Rfam family "Bacterial small subunit ribosomal RNA", at positions 29 to 421 of the family's 1533-position model. The record is from RNAcentral.
AUUGAACGCUGGCGGCAUGCCUUACACAUGCAAGUCGAACGGCAGCACGGGAGCAAUCCUGGUGGCGAGUGGCGAACGGGUGAGUAAUAUAUCGGAACGUGCCCGGUCGUGGGGAUAACGUAGCGAAAGCUACGCUAAUACCGCAUACGAUCUACGGAUGAAAGCGGGGGAUCGCAAGACCUCGCGCGAUUGGAGCGGCCGAUAUCAGAUUAGGUAGUUGGUGAGGUAAAGGCUCACCAAGCCGACGAUCUGUAGCUGGUCUGAGAGGACGACCAGCCACACUGGGACUGAGACACGGCCCAGACUCCUACGGGAGGCAGCAGUGGGGAAUUUUGGGACAAUGGGCGCAAGCCUGAUCCAGCAAUGCCGCGUGCAGGAUGAAGGCCUUCGG